UAGAUACCCCACUAUGCCUAAAAGUAACAAAGCAACAAACCAACACAAGUUGCUCGCCAAACCACUACGAGUGAAAACUUAAAACUUAAAAGACUUGACGGUACUUCACCCAACCUAGAGGAGCCUGUCUAAUAACCGAUAACCCACGAUCAACCCAACCGCCACUAGCCACUCAGCCUAUAUACCGCCGUCGCCAGCCCACCUUGUGAAAGAAACCAAGUGGGCACAAUAGUCCCACACUAACACGACAGGUCGAGGUGUAGCUUAUGGGGCGGACAAAGAUGGGCUACAUUAUCUAAACCAGAUAAAACGGAAAAAGCCGUGAAAACCAAGCCUUAUGAAGGAGGAUUUAGCAGUAAGAUGAGGACAUAAUACUCAACUGAAAACAAAGAAAUGAAGUGCGUACACACCGCCCGUCACC
RNAcentral lists this ribosomal RNA (421 nucleotides) under Boa constrictor constrictor. RNAcentral describes it as "partial 12S ribosomal RNA". The record is from RNAcentral. Lineage: Eukaryota; Metazoa; Chordata; Lepidosauria; Squamata; Boidae.